GAUGAACGCUGGCGGCGUGCCUAAUACAUGCAAGUCGAGCGAACAGACGAGGAGCUUGCUCCUCUGACGUUAGCGGCGGACGGGUGAGUAACACGUGGAUAACCUACCUAUAAGACUGGGAUAACUUCGGGAAACCGGAGCUAAUACCGGAUAAUAUAUUGAACCGCAUGGUUCAAUAGUGAAAGACGGUUUUGCUGUCACUUAUAGAUGGAUCCGCGCCGCAUUAGCUAGUUGGUAAGGUAACGGCUUACCAAGGCAACGAUGCGUAGCCGACCUGAGAGGGUGAUCGGCCACACUGGAACUGAGACACGGUCCAGACUCCUACGGGAGGCAGCAGUAGGGAAUCUUCCGCAAUGGGCGAAAGCCUGACGGAGCAACGCCGCGUGAGUGAUGAAGGUCUUCGGAUCGUAAAACUCUGUUAUUAGGGAAGAACAAAUGUGUAAGUAACGAUGCACGUCUUGACGGUACCUAAGCAGAAAGCCACGGCUAACUACGU
RNAcentral lists this ribosomal RNA (496 nucleotides) under uncultured bacterium. Its description in RNAcentral is "partial 16S ribosomal RNA". It matches the Rfam family "Bacterial small subunit ribosomal RNA", at positions 28 to 506 of the family's 1533-position model. The record is from RNAcentral.